This 3678-nucleotide long non-coding RNA is filed under the name Marmota monax (woodchuck). The record is from RNAcentral. Lineage: Eukaryota; Metazoa; Chordata; Mammalia; Rodentia; Sciuridae.
GGAGAAAUAGAAGUUGAGCAGGCCACCAACAGGAACCACAAUAGUCUACAAAUGCCUGCAACAAAGGACUAGUCCUAAGAUGUUGAGGGCAACAUCUUAGUGCACCUCUUCACUUAGAAAUCAAGUCGUUUGUCAGGUGCCAAUGAAAAAAUUUUCAAUACCUUCAGACUGACAGUCUCCAGAAGUGAAUGCUGGCUCUCCACAGCUCACUAAAGGUCACCUAGCACGGCACAUGGCCAAGUGGAUGUUUUGGGAUUGGCUCAUUCCUCCCUCUGCUUUGAGGCCCCAAGGAUCUGGGGUUGCUCUCCUGUGUUGACGGAUCCUCCAAACGUCUAUACAAUGCUCACUCCACACUUGGCAAAGAGAAUCUCCUCUGGGAUAGAGCCACAUAGGCCUGAAGAGAGAUGACUCCCAGUCCUGUCCUUUCACUUCAAAUAAAUAAACACAAAAGUAAAACAAAAGACAGACAGACAAAAAGCAGACUCAAGGAACAGAAUUAGGAAAACGUACGCUUUCACAAAAACAAGAGAGAGUAAAAGGACACCAAGGGGAAAACCUACCUCUGUUCACCCGAGCUCUGAGGAAUCAGUAUUUUUAAAACUAUUUUUUUAAAAGGUAAAGAUUUGUUAUCUAUCCUCCUCUUCCUAACAGUCCUUUUUUUCCAGCAGUUUCUUUAUUCAUCGGAGGCAGGAGGAUGAACAAAGGCCCGCUCCUUCUCAAGAAACACCCCCCUCCUUCCUCAUCUCCACACCCCUGCCUUGACUUCAGGAAACGUGUUCAGAGAAAACAAUUCCAGUUACUGGAAGAUCUUAAGGCUUUCCUCUGUGGGUUAACAACAGCCUGGCCUCCAACCCCCAAGAAAAGAUAUUUACUAAGCAAUAACAACACCUUUUAUGUUAUCUCAAUAUUAGGCAAGUCACUUCAUCUGUCUUAAUUCGGAUUCCUUUAUCACACAGUGAUGAAGCUUAGAUAGAUUAGCAGUUUGAAAAGUGUGUGUUUCUAUGUAUUUAAAUGACAGAAGAUUGCUUUAAAUAACAUCAUCUUAUGUGGAGCUCACAUAAAAAAAAAAACAGGUAAAAGCAGAGGUGCUUUGAUUGAGGGAAGGGUGGGAGUGAUAAGGCUGGGUAAGAGGAGGAUGCUAUGGUUUGAAUAUCCUCUCCAGGACUCAUCAGCUGCCACUGUGAUGGUAUGAAGGGGUGGGACCUUUAAGAGGUGAUUAAGGGCCCUUGUGAAUGGAUUAAUGUCAUUAUCAGGAAAUGUGUUUGUGGAUGCAAGUUGAUAGAGGGGGUUGUUAAUAAAUUUGGCCCCCUCUGGCCCUCUCUUUCUGCCUCAUAUAUGCUCACUUUCCCUUUCACAUGUUAUGAUGCAGCAAGAAGACCCUCAUCUCACACAGCAAGAUGCAGCCCCUUGAUCUUGGACUUCCCAGCAUCCAGAACCUAAGGUAAAUAAACUUCUAUUGUUUAUGAUUUACCUCGCCUGGGGUAUUCUGUUAUAGCAGCAGCAACUGGACUAAGACAGAAGAGUUUCUAGACCCUGGACUGAGCUUCAGCACACCUUGAAGAACUGCCCUAAGCCAUGGCUUUUCCAGCAAUUUAACAACCACUGUCCCAGCUGUUUUCUAAGGUCCCUUCAUAUGUGAAAUCAAGGUCCUGUUUUCUUUCUUAAAAAGAAAGACUGAUUCUUCCCUUAUAGAUUCACACAGUGACAUAUGACACCUUCCACAGGUAUAAAAUAAGAACAAAAAAAAAAUCCCUUUUAACCCUAUUUUUCGUUUUUGUAAUUUUGAAAAACAAAACUUAAUAGAGAACAGUACAGGGAAAAUAUAACUAUACCUACCAUCCAUAAUCUGAAAAAUACAAUUUGACACAUUUGUCUCAGACAGGUUUUUUAAAGUAAAGAAAUAAAAGUUGGCAGAUGUUGAAGUUCUCUUAGUUUAUCUGUCCAAUCCCAGUUUCCUUCUUUUAUCCCCAUCUUGACUAAGUAAUGUCCCCUCCCCAAGAUGUCCAUGCCUGACUCCUAGCACUGGUGAAUAUGUUGCCUUAUGUAAUAACAAAAGAGAUUUUGCAGAUGUGAUUUAAAUUAAGGAUUUGGGUAUGGGGAGAUUUUUCUAAAUGAUCCAACUGGACCCAGUAUAAUCAGAAGGGUCUUAAUUAGGAGGAGGCAGGAGGGCCAGAGUCAGAAAAGAUGUGACCACAUUUCAUGAAGUUGGUGGCAGUGAAGCAGGGACUGGUGUGAUGUGGCUGUCUUCACUCAUUUUCUGUGAGAUAACAGAAUCCCUAAGACUGGCUAAUUUAUAAAGAACAGAGACUUGUUUCUUACAGUUCUGGAGGCAGGAAAGUCCAAAGUCAAGGGGUACAAAUCUGACAAGGGACUUCUUGCUGCAUCAUUCCAUGAUGAAGAGUAUCACCUGGUAAGAAAAAAAAAAUGUGUAAAUGCCCAAAAGAGACAAAGAGAGACACAGAACUCACUCUUUGGUCAGAAACUCACUCUUGUUACAAUGAAACUACUCCCAUGAUACAGCAUUAAUUCAUUCAUGAGGGCAGAGCCAAAAAGAACACAGUUCUGAUGCUGCAUUGUGAAUUUUUGACCUCAAGAAUGUGCGAUAAUAAAUGUGUGUUGCUUCCAACUGCUAAAUUUGUGCUGAUUUGUGAUAGCAGCAAUUGGAAACUAAUACACUGUGCUGUCCUCAUUGCUCAUUUAAAAAAUUCUCCUGGCCUUUGUAGUCAUUUGAGUUUGUGACUCUAGCUAGAGUUGCCAGAUUAAAUAAAAACAAGCAAACAAAGCAGAAUUUACAGCUAAAUUUUAAUCUCAGAUAAACAACAACAAAUUUUUUAGUAUAAAUAUGCCCCAAAUAUUACUGAGUAUCUGUAUUGUUAUUUGCUAAAUUCUAAUACCAGGUCUCCAGCUCUCAAUUGCCUCACCUGACUCCAUUCCAACUUUACCUCCCAUUGCUCUCUUUCUUAGGCAUUAUGCUUUGGCCAAACCAGGCUGCCCACCAGUUUCCUGAGCAUGUUUGCACUCUUCUUGGGGAUCCUGCCUCUGCUUCUCUCCAGUUACCUAAGAUUAAGUCAGUGCUCUUCAAGAUCAAGUUGAAGAUCCAGCUCCUGAACUGGAGAUUCCCAGUCUCUGCCUUGGGGAUCCCUCUGUCCUCCUGAUUCUCAUAGUAUGUUAUCAAUGAAACUUAUUUUACAUUUAUUAUUUUGAACUGCAGUGUUACUAAUCUUUUAAUAGGUAUCUCUCCACUGCAUUACAACCUUUGAAUUUUAACUUAUUAAGGUAUCCCUAGUGUCGACGGUGCUUCGUACCUCAGAGUUAGUGGACAGUGUGCCAAUGUAAGGAUGAUCUAUCAGCUUUCAUAACACACCAGCCCCAAACUUCUCAACCUAAAUGACAAAGUUGGUGUGGGCUGUAUUCAAAAAAUACCAUAAACUGUUGUGACUCAAACAAAAAAUAUUUAUUUCUCACCCUUCUGGAAGCUAAGUGGUCUCAGAUUGAGGUGCUAGCAGGUUUGGUGUCUGGUGAGGGCUUUCUGUUUUAAAGGCAGCACAUUCUAAGAUCUGCGUCCUCAUACUGGGGAAGGAAUGAGCUGCUUGUGCACAUUGUAUAAGGGCACUAAUACCAUUCGUGAGGGGUUCCACCCCUAUAACUUCAUCUAGUCCAGUUAACUCUCAAAUACCC